CAGAAACCCUAAGUUCAUUCAUCCUAAAUUCCCCUUCAUCAAUCAUCCAUCCCUUAAAUCUCAUUCAUCCUAUAACAUUCAUUCAUUCAAAGUUUGUUCAUCCAAUUUUCAUCUAAAGAUUCAUUCAUCCAACCAUAAGUCAACUUAUCAUCCAAUUGACAAUUCGUGCAAUUGACCUAAUUCAUCCAAGCUUCAUCCUAAAAACUAAAGAAAAUUGGAAGUCGCCACCUUCCAAGUCAUGGUAGCGACCCCCUUGCACGAAUUCCACUACAAUGGUUGCAUCACUAACUUGUUUAUAACAAGCUUUGCUAUUUUAGAAAGUAGACUUACAAGCGCUUGUCCUCCAACAAAAUUCAAUGCAAAACAACAAUUAAGCUAAGAGAAAUCUUGCCUCAAAGUUGCCUGACUUUCUCGGCCUAGUCAGAGCACCCCUGGCCACAAAAACCCUUGCCCUUGCUCCAUUCCAGUUGUGCAAUGCAUAUGCUUUAGCAUUCCAGAAACUAGAAUUGAAGCCGCAUCACCUCCAACAAUUUUUUCUUGAAAAUCUUGAGUGAAUUCCAAGAUAUGACCUUCCAAAGUAGCUUGAGUUGGCGGAGUGCUACAUCUUCACCACGGCCGACUCCUCUUCACUCCAACCACCAUAACUUCCUUGGCCUUUACUCAAUCUAAGCGUGCAAAUAAUCCUUGCAAAGCUGACAACAAGAACCAUCUCCCACAAAAGUUUCAGCUCCAAAUUCAAUACUGUCCGCCAACACUCGCCUUCCAAAGUCGGACCUCCAGAUCUGGCCGGCAGCUGACCUCCUUGUCACUAAAACCACCACAACUUUCUUGUUUUCUCUCCAAACAAAGCGUGCCUACUGUCCCGAGGAAGCUAACGACAAGAUCUAACUAUUGGUAAAGUUUGACGUUCUAUUUCCAGAUAACUAAUACACUACAGCUGCGCAAUUGCAGCUCUAUAGAAACAAGGGUACGUGGGGAUGCAAUUUGGCAUGGCUUCGCCCCCCCAAAAAAAAAAAAAAAAAAAAAAAAAGAGAGCGAGUGUGGCCACCCCCACCCUCUUAUCCAAGUAGGAAGAGACCAAAGGGUGGCGGCCACAUCUCCACCAUCCAAAUCCACCAACCCUAAUCAAGAUCAAGGGCCCACAUUAAUCCUAUGUCCUAAAUCCGAUUUUAGUGCUGGACAUGCCCAAAAUCUCCAAUUCGAAGCGUUUUUUGACAAAACUAACUCCACCAAUGUGUUUAAAACAUAUUUAAACAUCAAGUUUGACUAUUCAUACACCCAAAUCUAAGUUCUAGAUCACUAAGAACCAACAAUUUGACAAACACAUCACAAUAAAUUUACUUCUAAUUAUUUUCUUCUCCUUUUUCUUCUUCUUCUCCUUGUCCCUCUUCAUCUUCUUCCUUCUUUCUCCUUGGCCUUUUUGUUUUUUUUUUGUUUGUUUUUUUGUUUUUUUUUUUUUUUUUCUUUUGGCUCUUUUUCUUAUCUUUCUUUCCACUCUCUUCUCCCUUGAUUUUUCUUUCCACUACUAAUCAUCAAUAAGCCACUAACAUUAAUGUCUAUAACUAACUUAUUAUAACAAAACAUAAUUAAAAUCCUCAUUUUUUUCGAUUUUUUUAGUUUAACCAACAAUGUAAACCAACUUUUGGGCUCACAUAAUUGGCGACCAUCAGGGGACGAAUCCAGCUUGUACUUGCCAAUUUUUGUCCUUUAAAGUAUUUUCACCAUGCCAGUUCAUACUAUCGCCUUGUCAUAAGAUAGAAAGGUGGAGCUCUUGCCCAAAAUUGCGCUCCCUCAUGUCUUAUAUUCUUUACACCUGCUACCUGAUGUUCGUGUGGGAAACAAUUGACCAUUCAAGGUCUCCAAUUGCACGAAGUUGUUUAAAAACACGUCCUUGACAAGAUAAGGACCCAACCAUACAGCAUCAAACUUGCUUGGAAAGUCGAUCUUUCGAGCAUCUUGUAACAAUACUAGCAUACCAUGUUGCAAGACCCGAGUCUUGUUCCAUUUAUCAAACACGACCUUGCGCCGCCUCUGGAUGGCCUCAAUGUGUUGAGCCCCUCAUCUUCUGCUCUCAUCCAACGCCUCGAGCUCGUACAACCUUGUCUUUAAAGAUUGUCUGUCAGUCAAUCUGGAAUCUACUGCAAUCCGAAGGGAUGGAACCUCAAACUCAAUUGGUAAAACUGCUUCCAGUCCAUAGACUAGAGAGAAUGGCGUAGCCUGCGUGGUGACCUUGAAUGUUGUUCUAUAUGCCCAUAAGGCGACUGACAGUUUCACAUCCCAAUCACGCUUGGAGUCUCUAACAAUUUUCUUCAAUAUAGUACCAAGUGUUUGGUUGACUCGCUCUGUCUGACCAUUGGUUUGAGGGUGAUAGGGUGUAGUCUUCUGGUGAUCAAUCUAGAAUCGCUCAGUCAUGGAUCCAAUCACCUCGUUGAGGAAAUGAGUACCUUGAUCACUCACAAGGAUCUUCGGGACUCCAAAUCUAGUAAUCACAUUCUCAAAGAGAAAAAUUGCAGCAUUCUUGGCAUCAUUUGUCCUCACAGCCUUGGCUUCAGCCCACUUAGUGAGAUAUUCAGUGGCCACUACAAUAUAUGCCAUUCCUCGAGAUGAAUGAGGAUGAAUCUCUCCCACGUAAUUGAUGCCCCACUUCUCGAAUGGCACCAAUGGUAGGGAAAUGUGAAGCGGCAACUGCAUGUGAAGGUCAUUCCUAGCAAAUCUCUGACAUGCAUCACAACGCCUCACAUAGGUAUGAGCGUCCUUGAAGAGUGUUGGCUAGUAAUAACCAGCCCUAAGAUUUUUUUGACCAGUCAAUUGGCUAGAAAAAUAUCCGCCACACGCACUGUCAUGAUAAGUCGACAAAAUGGAAGGAACCUCAUCUUCCAUCACACAACGUCUUAACACUCCAUCCAAUCCAUGUCGAUACAACCGGUUUCCUAAUACCACAAAAUGACGACUAUUGACCCGAAUCUUUUGCCUCUCAUCCUUGGAUAAAUCCACUCACAAUUGUUGAGUAGUCAAGAACUCAAUAAUCCUAGAAUACCAUGCUGGUCUAGCUGUCACCAAGAAAAGACUCUCGUCUAUCAAUCUAUCAUCAAUCGGGUGGGUCUCCAUUCCUCCAGGCAAUCUCGACAUGUGAUCUGCUUGUUUGUGUACGGAUCCAGGUUUGUAGUCCACAGUGUAAUCAAACUCUUGUAGCAACAAGACCCACCUAGCUAGCCGACCGCUCAACUCAGGUUUGUUAACCAAAUACUUGAUGGCCAUGUGAUCCACAUAAAAAACCACUUUGUUGCUCAACAGAUAAUGUCUAAACUUCUUAGUUGAGAACACCAUGGCUAGACAUUCCCUCUCAGUGGUGGAAUAAUUUUUCUCUGCAAGAUUUAAUUGCCUACUAGCGUAGGCAAUUGGAUGAUCCUUGCUCAUGCUCGGGCCUUCUACAAGUUGGCACAGAAUGCUGCCAACCGCCACCGCACUUGCAUCACAAUAGAUGUACAAAGGCAAGUCCCACCUCGGGGGCCUUAAUAUUGGAUAAGAAGACAAUUCCUUCUUUAGAACCUCGAAAGCAUCAUUACAAGCCUAAGUCCAUAUAAAUUUGGUGCCUUUCUUCUGAAGGCUAGUGAUGGGAAGGGUAAUAGUGGCGUAAUCUUCAAUCAACUCCCUAUACCAACCGGUGUGUCCUAAUACACGUUGCACUUCCUUCACACUGGUAAGAGGUGAUAAAUUCUGAAUUACCUUCACCUUUUCUGGCUCGGGCUCACGACCCCUCUUACUAACCAUAUAUCCCAACAAAAUGCCUCUAGUCAAGGCAAGAUAGGUUUUUUUCUGGAUUCAGGGCCAUUCGAGCUUUCUUGCACCUCUCUAAGCUUUCUUUCACCAAAUGAAUGUGAGAAUCUGCAUCAAAUUGGGUGCUAAAAUCAUCAAUGAAUACGGUCAUUGAUUUGUAUAACAAGUCUGAGAAGAUAGACAUCACCAGACGUUGGAAAGUAGCAGGGGCGUUACAUAAUCCAAAUGGCAUCACAUGCCACACAAACGUCCCCCAAGGUGUUGUAAAUGCAGUCUUGUGUCGAUCUUCAGGUGCAAUAGACACUUGGUUGUAUCCAAAAUAUCCAUCCAUAAAUGUGUAUAAAUCGUGACCUGCCACUUCUUCCAAGAUGCUAGUGAUAAAUGGCAAGGGAAAGUGGUCUUUUUGGGUGCAAAAAUUCAACUUCCUAUAAUCCACACACACCCUAAGUUUACCAUUCUUCUUCUUUACAAGCACCAUGGAAGAGACCCAAUCUCUGAUCUCAACAGGUUUAAUAAAACCUGCUUGGAGUAAUUUUUCCAGUUCCUCUUUCACAAUCAAUUGAAGCUGAGGAUUCAUUCUCCUCUCCUUUUGCCUGAUCGGCACUGCACCGGUCAUCAAGGAAAUUUGAUGUUCUACAAUCUCAAGAGGAAUCCCCUUUAACUCCUUGUAAGACCAUGCAAAGACCUCCCGAUACUCUCUUACCAACUCACAGUAGGCCUUGAUCUAUUCAUCCUCUAGUUGCCUUCCCAUCUUCAUUUGUCUUGGUUCUUCUCCUUCAAACUCCACUGUCACAAACUUCCAGUCUUCCUUAGCAACGUUGUCGUAUUACGUGCUUUCCUGCUCAAGAAUGUGUCGGGCGUCUGGCUGUAGAAGGUAGUAUGGAGAUUCACCGAUAGUUAAGCAGUCUAUCAGUUUUGACUACUGGAAUAUAAACGACUGCAACAAUGUACCGUAAAUCUAUACGGAUGCUCUUCGACUGCUUGUCGAAGUCCUUUUUGCCCCAGCCGGUAGGUCUCUAGACGUUACAGAGAACCCCGAACAAGCCAAACUGUUAAUCUUCAAUACCGCUUUGUAUUUACGAUCUUGUAUCCACUGACUGUCUUGUUAGAUUAACCCAAUAAAUUUCAUUCACUCUGCAUACUCAAUCCUAUAGACACCCUUUUAAUCCUUCAAUCACAGACGUGACUCGAUUUCACAAAACAGUCAAGAGUAUUCAAAUCCACUUCAUUAAAAAUUCCGAUUCACCAUUACAAUACUGACUUCAGCAACGAUUGCCUCAGUCUUCCCAAAACUCUACGAAGAAGAAAAACCCAAAUUUUAUGUCUUUCCUUCACCGACCCGAAGCAUGAAGCUCCCCUAUCUAAUCUCCUUGAUCUUCAAAAACCUCCAAUGAAAAACCAAACUAGUAACCUUGCAAAAGCUUGAAAACUAGCUCCCCUCGAUUUUCAAAAGAAAAACCCCCCCCCCCCAAAAAAAACUCUUUCUCAUAACCUUAUCCUCUGAAUUUCUUCAAUCUUCCGUCUUGGAUCCGGAAUUGGCUCUUGCCAUCAAGGCUUAGAUCCAAAAUUGGCUCUCACCGUCAGAGCUUUUUCUCCCCCCGUUUUUACCUUUAAGAGAUCGUUUAACCGAAAACAACGUUCCCUGAAACGGCACAGAGAACGGGACAGCCUGAAACAGAAUCGAAACUCGUAAUCGGGACCACAUUGAGUCGCCCGACCAAUUCAGGUCCCAUAUUGGGUAAGAUGCCCGUAAUAACCUAGAUGUUCCCGUAAUUGGGUCUGCAUUGGGUUGCCCGGCCAAUUCAGGUCUCAUAUUGGGUAAGAGGACCCGGAUUAGAUUCUCGAAAUUGGAUCCAAUUGGCUCUUCGAACCCAUCGUGUGAAUUGGUCCUUCUCUUCCUGCUGACUCCCGUUAUUGGAAUUGAAUGGAGCAUUUCAGUAUGCCCCGAAUGACUGUAACGAGGUGACUGAACCUGGCCACUCAAUAUUUAUACAGGAGUUGGUCGAUGCUCCCAAUAUUCGAGGUAAUUGAAUAUUAAUAAAAUUCCCCUUUCUUUUUAUUUUCAUUGUAUACUCGUGUUACAACACGACAUCCACCCCUCUCUAAACCUGUGCAUCCUCCUGUAUGCACCAAUUUACCCAAUUGCUGUUUGAUUCAGAAUAUAUCCUCUACGUCUUUGUCCAGUUCAUCUUCGUCACCUUCAUUAUCCAAAUCACUUUCAUCUUCUUGCUGCGGAAUCUCUAUACCUUCAUUAAGGUCUUCCAUAUUCAUCUCUGCAUGUCUUCGUUUAAAUAUGUUUACUCACUUCCCUGCAAUUGGUAUUUUUAAUUUUGUACCAUCUAACUCCCGUAAUGAGUAAGUCGCAUUAUCAUGAACAUUUGUUACCACAUAUGGUCCAAACCAACGUUUUGAGAAUUUCCGCAAAGUACUAUAUUGAUUAUCCAGACUAUUGUCAUAAACAAGUACCCAGUCACCUUCCUCGAUUGCUUUUGGUCUCAACCGAUGUUGCUUAUCGAAUCGCGCCUUGUUUUGUAACCUUGCUCUUUUUAACCUUCCCAAUGCUAUCUGGACAUCUUCCGUUCUUUGCUCCAAUUGUCGAAUCCUAAUAGCCAGAAGUUCUUCUCUUGUCAAUCAAUCUUCCGAUGGUAGCAUACUCCAAGUAAGUACCUUUUCUUCAAUCGGCAUAAUUGAUUUUUGACCUGUCAUAAGUUCUACUGGCAUAUAUCCUGUCACCGAGCUAUGUGUUGUUCGAUCACUCCAUAAUACAAAUGACAAAAGCCGUGGCCACUCUUUAACUUUCCCAUUACAAGCUUUAACCAAUGCUUUCACAAUCGGUGGAUGACCACGUUCGCUUUUUGUAUUCCCUUCUGGAUAAUAAGUAGUAGUCAGUGAUAGUUUAACUCCACAUCUUUCAAAGAACUUACGAGCUUCUUGUGCAUUUAAUUCUCCACGAUCUGCAGUGAUUUUUCCUACGCACCCAUAACGGCAAAUGACAUCUUCAAGCAAAAACCUACAAAUCCCCUCUGUAGAUUUUGUCCUCAAUGCUCUUCCUUCUACUUGAUUUGAUAAAUCUUCAUGAGCUAAAACUAAAUAUCUCAUCUGUCAUAACCCAACCGACAUAAUAACCAAAUCAACAACCCAUUUAAAAUGAAUAGUCAGAGGAUACGUAGGAUGAAGACCAUCUCGAUGUCGGAUAUUAGAAUACGAUUGACAGAUUUCACAUGACUCUACAAAUGAGAGCACAUCUCGAUACAUAUUUUUCCACCAAUAUCGUUCCUUGAGUUUAGCAAAAGUAGCCCAGAUUCCUCUAUGCCCUGCCCAUAAACUAUCAUGAAACUCCUUUAAUAAUUUUAGUUUUUCUUCCCUUUUGCCUAUCACUCGUUGUGGCAUGUCAAUUCCUUUCUUUGGUCUCUUCCAUAAGAAUCCAUCUCGAAGUAAAAAUCCAUAUGCUUUUUUUCUUAUUUGUUUGAAUUUUUCUGUAGACCAAUUCCCUUGCUUAGUCAAGGUAUUCAAAUAAUGACCAAUAUCCAAUAAUUCUCCUUCAUAAGUUUCUUCAAGAAAUAGCUUUUUUUCUUUGUUGAGAUUUGAUAUUGAAUAGAAUUUCAAUCCGACAUCAUCAAUGUCUUCAACCAUUUCGUCCUCCCUCUCGUAUCUUGCUCGAGAUAGCAUGUCUGCUAUUAAAUUGUCCUUCCCAGUGAUAUGCUUAAAUUCUGGAUUUAGUGACUUAAUAUGAGCAAUCCAUCUCAACAUUGCAAUAUCUGGCGUUGAACAGUUAAUAAUCAUUCCAAGCAAUGGCAAGCAAUCUGUUUCAAUUACUACUACUGCCCCAAUCAAAUAGUCCUUUUCAGCUUUCAUAGCCGAAACGACUCCCCAAAGUUCUCUUUUGACUUGCAAAUAUGCACGCUGACGAAUACUUAAAACUUUAGCCCCAAAUCGAACUGCAAAUCUACUCCCAUUUGAAUCAUCUUGAUCCACAGCCCAUCCAAUGGCAAUUGGACUAGUGUCCACAGUAAGAAUCACUGGUCUAUUGCACUUAUAAUCAACCUUCCUCAAUAUUAGAGGUGACAUCAAUAAAUUCUUCAAUCUUUGCAUUGCCUGAAUAUGCCUUUCUUCCCAUUUAAAUCGGUAACCCUUGCGUAACAGUUCAUAUAAUGGAUCCGCUAUGUGAGCAAAAUGAGGGAUCCAGAUUCGAUAAAAUACACAUGCACCCAAAAACCUGUGAACCUCUGUUAAAGAAUCACAAUCCUCUUUCAUCCUUCCAAUUGCAUCAACUUUAGUCGGAUCUGGUUUUCUUCCAUAAGAUCCACAUAAAUGUCCAACAAUUACAACCUCUCGUACUCCAAAUACGGACUUCAUACCCGAUAAUAUAAGAUGAACUUCUCCAAGCGGAGUUAAAAUCUUUUCACAAUCUUGUAUAUGAUCAACAACAUAUGUGCGACACCCCCUCGUAUCUAAAGUUUCAUCCUUGUCUCCUUCUUUGCACCCUUUUAUAGGAACAUCAUCCAGAAAAGGCAUAGUCUUUUCCGGAAUAAAAUCUCUCAAUACCUUAUUCAUCCCAUUCAUCAUAUGCGCAACUGAGUUGGUCGCGCCUUGAGGAAGAGUGUACAUUCUAAUCAAUCCAAGCGGUGUCCUCAUCGUUGUCAUAUCUCUACUUCCUUCGGCAAGUUGAAAUUGAUCAUAACCUGAAUACAAAUCAUCCAUUGAAUAGAUCGCCCUUCCAGUAAACGCCUCAGCAAAUUCAUCCACAAUAGGUCCAAUUCCUGCAUUCCUAACAGUUACAGCAUUCACCGGUUGCAUAUCUUGAAUAAACCGUAGUAACCCAUUCUUCUUAGGUACCGUAAACCAUCGACUAGAAUACGGCGCAAAUGAAGGUUCCAAUAUUUUCAUCUUUAUCUUUUCUUUUAAUAGUUCCACCAAUUUAGGUAAAUGUGCCCUCGGUACUGGAAUCGAUCUUAGAUUCCAAGGUACAUGCGGUACAGUGAAGAUAACCAUAGGUGUUAUAAUAUUUGGAUCCACACACCCAAUUUCAUGAGAUUCGAAGGCAAACGAUCUACCUUGUUUAGCCAACAUCUUUUUGAAGCAAGUAAUUUCCUCCGGCAAUAAAGAACCAUCAGAACCAAUCUUCAAUUCUUCAAAAGUCUCUUCAGUAAACUGAUGUCCAAUACUCAUUGGAUCUCUUAAACUUGCUUCUUUUGAUACUUCUCCCAUUUGUUCUUUAGAAUCCUCUGGUAAUGGUCCGGCAACAGGCUUUACCUUCUUAUCUGCAGUUUUAUAUCUCGUCUCUACUGUGACUUCUGGUGCUUGAAAAGAUUCAAGCAUGGUAUAAACCUCUCUCGAAUGAAUCUCAACAAUCUUAUCAUUAUCCCCUAAUCCAAUAGAUGUAAUCAAUUCCAAUGAAUCUUCCAGUCCAUUUUCUUCAUAAACAUCCAAAAUCCUCUCAUCAUCUUGCAAUGUACCUAUCUUGCGUAAUUGUCCUUCAAUAUCAUAUAAUCUUUUUCUUUCUUUUCUUUUAAAAUCAUCAACUUUCUUAUACAUAAUAUUUCCAUUCUCCAAUAUACCAAUAAAACUCGAAUCAAAGGCACCUUCAUCUCGCGAGAGUACCUCCUCUUUUGUACCUCCAUAAUCUCGCUUUACAGUGGUACCUCCCCAAAAUCCUUAAAUCCUUCAACAAUCUUUGGCAAUGGUUUCUCCCUCAACCUAUCUCGAUUCCAUUCAUGGUUAGGAGGUACUGUUAGAAAUUGUACAGCUUUCCUCCCAUCUUCGCUCCGUACAUUUGCAUAAGCAGAACCAUCGUCAAGUACCUUUGUUUCCAUCCGUGUUGACGUGAUAUAAGGUUGUCCUAAAAUCAACGGAUAAGACGUUGUAUCUUGAACGAAGAAAUGUUGCUCCGUCGCAACAUCCCCAAUCCAAAUUUUGACAUCUGGACAAGCUCCAUAUAAUUCGCCCCGUGUGUUAUUAGCUGCUCAUAUUGCCCAUCCAUGUUCCAUAUCAAUUGGCCAUUUUUGCUUCUUAUAAAGAUCUUUAGACAUGAGAUUUAUUUCAGAACCAUGGUCGACCAAAGCAACUAUUGGUUCUUUUAUAUCUCCUACCUUCACCAAUACCUCAGUAGUUGCCCUUGCCCAAUGCUUUCGAAUAUAAUGGCUCAAAGUUUCCAUUUCCUUAUCACUAGAAUCUUCGAAACGUACUCGCUGAUUAUACCCAUUCUUUUCAUUUGUUGGUUGCUUGUAACCAAUAUCAACCUCUUCUUCAUCUCUACAUAUUCUUGCAUCAAUAGCAUGACUCAUUCCAGUUUCGCUCAUUAAUUGCCUCUUUCGCUUAAUGUUGUCAAUGAUAACAUCAUGAAACUCCUUCUUUGCAAUUCCCAAGACUUCUUUCAAUGUGAAUUCGACCUUAGCAUUUAAUAUACGUUCUUCCAACACCCCUUUCAAAUUUGUUGUCGCUUCAAUGUCAGAAAGUAGCUUAUAAGCAAUUGAUUUGCCCUUAUCUUUUGUCUCUGUUGUUUUUUCUCCCAAUGAUGCUGAGGUAUCCUUUACAGGCAAUUCUUGUGAAGCUGCCUCCCGAGCCUUGUCUCCUCGAGUUUGCCUCUUAAAAGAAUUUCCUUCUCUAGUAUCAUCAAAAUUUCCUCGUCUUUUUUCUUCCAUCAAAGCUUCAUGUUGGCUCUUAGCAAUAUAUGCAUGAACUGAAAGAGACUCAACAGGAUCCUCCCAACCUGUUCUUCCUCAUAUUGUAGCUGCAGUUCUCAAUAACGCUUCUCGAGGUAAUUUCCCUUCUUGCAUUGUAGAAACGGCAGAAGCCCAAAACUCACUAGUUUCCGUACUUCCACGAAUUUCAUCAUCUACUCUAGCACCAUAACUUGCACUUUCUCGUGCUACUGUUUCAUGCUCUUUUAAGUAAUCUUGAACCAAUGCUCUCAUUCCUCCCUUGCCAAAAUUAGUUUGAAGAAGAUCCUCUCUAUUUUUCAAUGCUAUCUUCCCAUCUUUCCAGCAAAUAAUUCCCUACUGUAUCAUAUUAUUAAAUUCAUUGCAAUCUUUUCUAGUGUGUGAAGCAUCAUCACACCAAAUGCAUCUUUGUACAUAUCCUUGUUUUGAAACAUUCUUCGAAUUGUUUAUAGAAGUAUUCUCUUCAAGUCUUGCCAAUUUGAUUUGAAGAUCUCGCAUUCCUCGUAUAAUUUCUUCCAUACCCAUAUCUGCUUUCUUUGACAAGGAUGUCGAAGGUUGAACUGUAGGCAUUGUUGGUGGUGUUGUACGUAUUGGAGCUUUGGGUGCUUGUACUAUUUUCGAAAUAUUGCUCCUAUCCUUCCUCCUUUCUUUUUUUGUAAGCAACUCCACCGCAUCUUCAACGUUCUUCCACUUCGUUGUCAAUCCUUCAUCUUCUUCUUUGUCUUCAAGAAGGGGUUCUAAUUUCUCUUGCAAUUCUCCAUCAGCAGCUUGAAGAAAUAGAUCAACUUUGUUCGACUCCAAUGUCAAUUUUUCUACCUUCGAUAAUUGAGAGUACUGCCUCUCAAAUUCCCUUAGUAGCUCUGUUGCUUGCAAAUUCUUAUUGGGCCGUUCAAUCCAUCCCAAAAACAGCUUCUUAGUAACGCAAUCAGCAUCUUCCAAGAAAUAUUCGUCUUUCAAUGCAUGUGAAAAAUCCUCCCAUGAAUUCCCAUAACGAUCCGUAAUUGAUGUAAUGUGGUCUCUUAUCUCUGAUAUCAUGGCAAGUCCAAAUAGUGCAACCAUUUUCUUCUCAGAAACCCGAUUUAAUUCCAUUUCACGAACAUAAUAUCUUAAAUACCUUGAAAUAUUCCUCCCAUCAAAUUGAUCAAUUUUAUUGACCACUACUUGCAAUGCUUUGAUUGCCAAAGCUUCCUUUCGAUCAUUGCUUUGCUGUUGCUGCAUUGACAAUGAGAAGGCUUGAAACAAACUAGCGAUAGACAGAUCCAUAUGCAUACCUUGUCUUUUAGAAGACUCCCCACCAGAGACUCCUCCCAAAAAUCCUUCAAAAUUUUUAUUUUCGUUUUCCAUAAAAAUAAAGAUAAAAUCAACCGAAAUCCAAUACCUUCCACCUCAAGCUUUCACGUCGGAUUCACCACUUUUUGUUGUAUUACGUGUUUUCUUGCUCAAGAACGCGCCGGGCGUCUGGCUGUAGAAGGUAGUAUGGAGAUUCACCGAUAGUUAAGCAGUCUAUCAGUUUUGACUACUGGAAUAUAAACGACUGCAACAAUGUACCGUAAAUCUAUACGGAUGCUCUUCGACUGCUUGUCGAAGUCCUUUUUGCCCCAGCCGGUAGGUCUCUAGACGUUACAGAGAACCCCGAACAAGCCAAACUGUUAAUCUUCAAUACCGCUUUGUAUUUACGAUCUUGUAUCCACUGACUGUCUUGUUAGAUUAACCCAAUAAAUUUCAUUCACUCUGCAUACUCAAUCCUAUAGACACCCUUUUAAUCCUUCAAUCACAGACGUGACUCGAUUUCACAAAACAGUCAAGAGUAUUCAAAUCCACUUCAUUAAAAAUUCCGAUUCACCAUUACAAUACUGACUUCAGCAACGAUUGCCUCAGUCUUCCCAAAACUCUACGAAGAAGAAAAACCCAAAUUUUAUGUCUUUCUUUCACCGACCCGAAGCAUGAAGCUCCCCUAUCUAAUCUCCUUGAUCUUCAAAAACCUCCAAUGAAAAACCAAACUAGUAACCUUGCAAAAGCUUGAAAACUAGCUCCCCUUGAUUUUCAAAAGAAAACCCCCCCCCCCAAAAAAAACUCUUUCUCAUAACCUUAUCCUCUGAAUUUCUUCAAUCUUCCGUCUUGGAUCCGGAAUUGGUUCUUGCCAUCAAGGCUUAGAUCCAAAAUUGGCUCUCGCCGUCAGAGCUUUUUCUCCCCCCGUUUUUACCUUUAAGAGAUCCUUUUACCGAAAACAACGUUCCCUGAAACGGCACAGAGAACAGGACAGCCCGAAACAGAAUCGAAACCCGUAAUCGGGACCACAUUGAGUCGCCCGACCAAUUCAGGUUCCAUAUUGGGUAAGAUGCCCGUAAUAACCUGGAUGUUCCCAUAAUUUGGUCUGCAUUGGGUUGCCCGGCCAAUUCAGGUCUCAUAUUGGGUAAGAGGACCCGGAUUGGAUUCUCGAAAUUGGAUCCAAUUGGCUCUUCGAACUCGUCGUGUGAAUUGGUCCUUCUCUUCCUGCUGACUCCCGUUAUUGGAAUUGAAUGGAGCAUUUCAAUAUGCCCCGAAUGACUGUAACGGGGUGACUGAACCUGGCCACUCAGUAUUUGUACAAGAGUUGGUCGAUGCUCCCAAUAUUCGAGGUAAUUGAAUAUUAAUAAAAUUUCCCUUUCUUUUUAUUUUCACUGUAUACUCGUAUUACAACACGACAAUAUGAGAUUGCUCAUUGUUAUCUUGAUACCAAUCCGAAGGCACAUUGGGAUAACUGAAAACGUCUUCUCCAACCGUAAUUUCCGAAGAACCAGUCUUAAAUUUCAAUGAUCCUCCCAAAUGCUCACUUUCCUGUAAAACCUCUACUCCUUCAACAUCCUCUAUUCCAAUCAAAUGGACAUCUACCUCAAUUAAAGGUGUCAAACCAUCGUCCAACUCCAUUCCAAUGAAAUUCAAUCCUGCCGUCAAUUCUGAUGAAGAAUCAAGGUUGUCCUGGAGCCACUUGGCAUACUCUCCAUUGUCUGACCAAUGGUGGAGAUUUGGACCAAGACACUUCAAGGUUUGAACCUCAGCUUCAAACGUCAUCCCAUCCACGGAUUUUAAUGGUGUGCCUUCUCCAAUAGAUAUGGUGUCAACCACCUCGAGUCCUAUCAAAGGCUUGAUUCUAACUUUAGUGGGGUUUUCAUAUGGACCGUAAACUAUGGAGGGCUUAUCACCACCCCACAUGAUGGCGACAUUGGCCAUCCUCAACCACGGACGAUCUAACAGAAGUGGAAAAGAUUCUUUGGAAGUGUGCAUCCUGAUAACAUGGAAGGUCACUAAAUAAUCCUCCUCCCCUGUAGAGAUUUUACAGUUCGUGAUCUGGCCUAAAGGCCUAGCAGGACUCUGAUCUGCCAUGUUUAAUACAAAUGGUGAAGGUCCGGUUAAAUUCAACCCCAACUUCUCCAUGGUAUGAAGUGGCAUGAUGUUAAGCCCACUACCUCCAUCAAUAAGCACAUUCGGAACCAUCUUGUCCACGAUAGUGACCUCGAUCUCCACUGCCUUCACAUCCAUUGGCCUAAUAGAUGCUUGUACCCUAGCCACUGUCCUCUUCUGAGUCUUCUUCUUCCUCUUCGCCCUAGGCAAUCCUUCUUUGAAACUCUUCCUCAUCAAAGGAGAUAUCUCCAAUAGUUGAGCAAUUGAGAUGUCAGCCUUUAUCCUCCGCAAGUCCCUCCAGAGAUCAUACUUCUAGUAAGAGGUUGGCGUCGUAUCACUCAACCCUCCAAACUCCUCCUCUGGAAUAUCUGGACCCUCCCAUUCACCCGGUUCUAACCCUUUACCUGGAUCAGAGCCUUCAGAUGACCUUUCAUCACCUACUGCGCCGCCUACCUCCCUUGUAAUUUUUACCACCUCCUUUGCAACCGCCUCAAGAGCUACUAAAUCCAACAACUCUUCAGACUCACUACUAUUUGAGUCUUCUUCAUCGAUUGGUGAUUGCCUAUGAGCUUGCCCUCGGGUAAUCACAGCCAAAGUAGCAUUCUCAUGGCCACCGCCUCCGUUUUUCUUCAAUUCAUGGGUCACUAAAUUAGAAGGUGCUUCAUGUUCUUCAAUCACCACUGUGGUCUUUGCUAGAGAUGGCACAGGACCCUUCAAUAAGACCUCUUCUGCUACUCUAACAUCUUGGUUAGAAGAUGGACCUUGUUUUUCGUUUGCAUAGUUUCGAUAGCCGCCUUGUUGAUUUUGGGCAACUGGGAUAUAACCUUGGGAGGUUUGUAACCCUUCCGAAGGUUGAUGGUUUUGUCUGAAAUCCUCAUAGUUGUAGUAGAGAUUAGGAGGUUUUAGUCCUCUGAUCAUCACCAUGAGGUCGUCUCUGAUCUCUCAUGUUAUUCCGCGCGUUCUCAUAAGGAUUUAUUAUUGGUGGUGGUAGUUGAAUUACCUUGUCAGGUUGUCUACAUUCAUGGGUAGGAUGAUUGCUACCACAAUUGCCACACGGCCGUAGUUGGCCAUCAUCCCAGCACUGACCCGGCUCAUGCCAUCUCCUGCAAAGCUCAUGGUACUCCUUCCGAGGCUUGCCACUUCUACCAUAUCCUUGAAGACCACCUUGAUAACCUCCUUGCCGCUGCUGAGGUCCUCUAUCUCUUCCAUAGCCCUGUGUUGGCUGGUAUGGUUGACGAUUUGGAUUACCUUGAGGCCUUACUCGGCACUGAAGAGAUGAAUGUCCAUUUUGGCCACAAGUAGUGCACCAAACCCCCGAGUUAUGGUUACCAGACUCUAUCCGAGGAGGUGGGUGUUUGAAUUUUGAUUCUUUACCAUGAAUGCCAUCUGCUCAGUCAAGGCUUGGAUCUGCUUCAUCAUGGAGUCUUGAAAACCUUCUUGUCCGGCCUGUAUUUUCUCCUCUAAGUCCUCCACUCUCUUCUCCAAUUGUGGCUCUGGUAAUGCCAAUAAGGGUACCAGAGCUCUGGUGGCCAUGGGCAUGACAUUGUAAUAUUAGGCACCAUUGUCGACUAUCGGAGGUGUACUUGACAUGCUUGGUCCUACCGCUUGGCUUACAGGAUUAAUUGGAAUAAACCCCGGGAUAGACUCAUCUUCCUUCCUCUAAUACCUUUCAUAACUUCUCUCGAUUAAAUCUACAACACGCGCCGCUGUUUUGGCUUCCUCUAAAGUGGCUGGGUUUCUCUCUAAUACUCCCUUGAUUGUAGAUCGAUUAGCAAAUCCUUCAAUGAAGAAUUGCUUUAUCCUAUCGCCAUUCAACAAUCCUCCUACAUAACGCAUGCAGACCAAGUCAAACCUCCUGAUGUAGUUAGCCAUUUCCUCGUCUCUUUGUUGUCGUACCGCUCCUAGUGCUCUCAAGGCUGUACUUUGUCCAACCUCCCGCCUAAAGUGGUUUAAGAAGGCUACUUGCAAUUGGGACCACGUAGUAAAAUGUCCCUCAUCAUGGUCCCGGUACCAAUUGUAAGCCUCACCGUGUAAGGUUCCGGGGAACCAAACCAGAUAAUAUCCCUCGUUCCCAAUGACGGAUGUUGUCAAAAUCUCUAUGUACCUCUCCAUGUGUAGGGUUGGAUCCUCGUCCUUGGUGCCAUAGAACUUGGGAAGAUUCCCUAGAACUAUGGCCGCUAAUAGCCCUGCUGGCAUAGCCAUGGGCAAACCUCGUGGCCUAACUAAGGGAUCCAAAGCUGGAAGCCGCUCCGUCGCCAUCUCGUGAACAAAUCCUUCGACUGCAGGCACAAAGUCCAAGGUCCUAUCUUGUUCUCCUAUUUUUCUAAGGUUCACGUCUCCAAACACUCCGUCUUCAGGGUCUACGUGUUCUAUCACUGCCGAGGCAUUACCCACUAACAAGGCAAUGACAACGACGAAUUACAAUCCUAAGUUAACAUAGAUCAUUCAAUGUAUGAUGGCUUACCUCAUGCAAUUCCAGCUUCCUGCACAAUUAGUAUACCACCGGCCUCUCGAUCACAUGCUAAGGUUUCUAGCACAAACUACCAUAGAUAUCCCCAAGAUCCACAUACCUUCUGCUGUGCUCCUUCCAAUCACGACCCCAUCAUCUUGCUCCUAUUAUCUCCUUCCUCCAUGUAAUCAAUCAUCGCAACUCAAAAAAAAAAAAAAAAAAAAACAAAAAAAAAAAAAUUGUUAGACAACGUCUCUAAGAUCGACUCCGGACAAACGCACCAUUUAUGUGAGCUAAAUUCCUCCACCCUUAAUUGCGUUUAGUAGUCAAGUGGAUUAACUUCACUCACACGCAAUUUUUAUAAAUCCUAAGUUCAUUCAUAAACCCUAAAUUCAUCCAUAAAUCCUAAGUUCAUCCAAAAACCCUAAGUUCAUCCAGAAACCCUAAGUUCAUCCAGAAACCCUAAGUUCAUCUAAAAACCCUAAGUUCAUCCAAAAACCCUAAGUUCAUUCAUCCUAAAUUCCCCUUCAUCAAUCAUCCAUCCCUUAAAUCUCAUUCAUCCUAUAACAUUCAUUCAUUCAAAGUUUAUUCAUCUAAUUUUCAUCUAAAGAUUCAUUCAUCCAACCAUAAGUCAACUUAUCAUCUAACUGACAAUUCGUGCAAUUGACCUAAUUCAUCCAAGUUUCAUCCUAAAAACUAAAGAAAAUUGGAAGUCGCCACCUUCCAAGUCAUGGUAGCGACCCCCUUGCACGAAUUCCACUACAAUGGUUGCAUCACUAACUUGUUUAUAACAAGCUUUGCUAUUUUAGAAAGUAGACUUACAAGCGCUUGUCCUCCAACAAAAUUCAAUGCAAAACAACAAUUAAGCUAAGAGAAAUCUUGCCUCAAAGUUGCCUGACUUUCUCGGCCUAGUCAGAGCACCCCUGGCCACAAAAAUCCUUGCCCUUGCUCCAUUCCAGUUGUGCAAUGCAUAUGCUUUAGCAUUCCAGAAACUAGAAUUGAAGCCGCAUCACCUCCAACAAUUUUUUCUUGAAAAUCUUGAGUGAAUUCCAAGAUAUGACCUUCCAAAGUAGCUUGAGUUGGCGGAGUGCUACAUCUUCACCACGGCCGACUCCUCUUCACUCCAACCACCAUAACUUCCUUGGCCUUUACUCAAUCUAAGCGUGCAAAUAAUCCUUGCAAAGCUGACAACAAGAACCAUCUCCCACAAAAGUUUCAGCUCCAAAUUCAAUACUGUCCGCCAACACUCGCCUUCCAAAGUCGGACCUCCAGAUCUGGCCGGCAGCUGACCUCCUUGUCACUAAAACCACCACAACUUUCUUGUUUUCUCUCCAAACAAAGCGUGCCUACUGUCCCGAGGAAGCUAACGACAAGAUCUAACUAUUGGUAAAGUUUGACGUUCUAUUUCCAGAUAACUAAUACACUACAGCUGCGCAAUUGCAGCUCUAUAGAAACAAGGGUACGUGGGGAUGCAAUUUGGCAUGGCUUCGCCCCCCCAAAAAAAAAAAA
RNAcentral lists this long non-coding RNA (17775 nucleotides) under Physcomitrium patens. RNAcentral describes it as "long non-coding RNA (PPAT_LNC010296)". The record is from RNAcentral. Lineage: Eukaryota; Viridiplantae; Streptophyta; Bryopsida; Funariales; Funariaceae.